Molecule: long non-coding RNA, 655 nt
Organism: Homo sapiens (human)
Lineage: Eukaryota; Metazoa; Chordata; Mammalia; Primates; Hominidae
Exons: 2
Source: RefSeq, a predicted model, not a curated record
CUUUUGUGAGCCUUCUGUUCUCUGACGUGUGCUGCUCUAACCAAGUUUCCUAAAUAGGGGAGAGAAUGUCUUUUCCUUUGCAAUUUCUAGAUGACUUGGGUAGUCCUAAAGUUUUGGUGGCUCUCCAAGAUCAUUUAGGGCAGCUAAUAUGUUAUUAGUUUUUGUCUGUUUUAGCAAAAAUCUGCAAUUGGCAUUUCCCAUGUGAUGCUGCGUGUUGAGGGCUCAUCUGCUUCUCGUCCAGGACGACAUUUCCAGCUUCAUCUUUGAUCUUAACCCUCCCGGAGGCAUACUUGGUUUCCUGACAGCCGCUGCAAUACACAGUCUUGACGGUGCCAUCCGGGUACUCCCUCCUCUUGAACCGGGCUGUGUGGAUUUCUUUCUGCCCGUUGCUGAGCACAAUGGUUUUGUCGCCGUUCCUGAGAGGAGAAACACAUGGGAUGAAUAACAGUGAUUUUCACCUUGUACUGGAGACAGAACCCUUGGACACUGAGGAACUCGCUGUGGAGCCUGCUGAAAUACUGCUGCACUGCUUCUAUUUCAUUACAGGAACAGGAAGGUGAUUACAGUGCCUGCAUGUGGGGUGCAUUCACAGCUGCUUGAUGUGUUUCUGAAAAAAAGAAAAGCUGCCAAAUUAAACUUAAUUGAUGAGUUUCCA